This 238-nucleotide ribosomal RNA is filed under the name uncultured bacterium. RNAcentral describes it as "partial 16S ribosomal RNA". It matches the Rfam family "Bacterial small subunit ribosomal RNA", at positions 539 to 776 of the family's 1533-position model. The record is from RNAcentral.
CGUUGUUCGGAAUUACUGGGCGUAAAGGGCGCGUAGGCGGCCUACUAAGUCGGACGUGAAAUCCCUUGGCUUAACCGGGGAACUGCGCCCGAUACUGGUUGGCUUGAGUUUGGGAGAGGGAUGCGGAAUUCCAGGUGUAGCGGUGAAAUGCGUAGAUAUCUGGAGGAACACCGGUGGCGAAGGCGGAAUCCUGGACAAAUACUGACGCUGAGGAGCGAAAGCCAGGGGAGCAAGCGGG